UACAGAGGUCUCAAGCGUUGUUCGGAUUCAUUGAGCGUAAAGGGUGCGUAGGUGGCAUGGUAAGUCGGAUGUGAAAUCCCGGGGCUCAACCCCGGAACUGCAUUCGAUACUGCUGCGCUAGAGUACUGGAGAGGAGAUUGGAAUUUACGGUGUAGCAGUGAAAUGCGUAGAUAUCGUAAGGAAGACCAGUGGCGAAGGCGGAUCUCUGGACAGUUACUGACACUGAGGCACGAAGGCCAGGGGAGCAAACGGG
This 253-nucleotide ribosomal RNA is filed under the name uncultured bacterium. Its description in RNAcentral is "partial 16S ribosomal RNA". It matches the Rfam family "Bacterial small subunit ribosomal RNA", at positions 524 to 776 of the family's 1533-position model. The record is from RNAcentral.